Molecule: long non-coding RNA, 4981 nt
Organism: Capsicum annuum
Lineage: Eukaryota; Viridiplantae; Streptophyta; Magnoliopsida; Solanales; Solanaceae
Exons: 5
Source: RefSeq, a predicted model, not a curated record
UUCCUUUCUCUUUUUUAAAAAGUGUAUCAAUAUAGUAUAAAAGUGUAUCAAUGUAGUAUAAAAGUGUAUUAAUUGAGUAUAGAGACUGCAUGUGCCCAAUUGGGCCAAAUGACUAAAAAGUGGUAUUACUUUAGCCGACUGGCUAAGCAUGUUCACCUUUUCAAAUGUGGGCCAUUUAUUUUUAAAAUGGCCAUCCCAUGUCCUUUCCCCAUUAAAUUUUUAUAAAAAAUGACCACAUGGUUUGUUGAUGUGCAUAAAGACUUUCCACAUUCAAGAUUAGAUAAACUUCCUAAGUAAGUGGUGGACAAGAGGCAUGCUGGUUGGCUUGAGUUGCUGCCGAUAGUGAUACGUGGCUAUUCUGUGUUACCUUCCUUGUUUGUGGCUGUUAUCGCUUUAAUAAAUAUUGGAGGUAAACUAAAUUCUAUAACAAUAUAAGAAGAUAGUUUCUUGGUUCAUUUGUACUUUCUUCUAGUUUUCUAUAUUUAUAAGCCACCUUGCAAGUGACUGACUUAUUUGUGUAUACUAGAUGGCCUAUUUUCAAUUUAAGGAAGCAGUACAACAUCAUGUUAAGAAGUAGCAUAAAUUUUCAAUUUAAGAAAGCAGUACAACAUCAUGUUAAGUAGUAGCAUAAAUGCUUCGUAGUAUGUUGAACAAAGUUUAUACUAUUGCAUCAGUAAAGCUUGUUUCAAAGACCAAGGUUGUACACAGUUUAUACCAUUACGUUGGUAAAACCUAUUGGAAAGACCAAAUGUCAGAAUGUGAAUUCAAACAGUUGUUGAUGGUAGAAGAAGUUGCAUCUGGAUAUUCUCCAGGAAGAGGAUACGUCAUUCAAAGUUAGAUAACAAUUAUAUGUCCAACUCACAACUAAUACAUUUAAAUUUAAAUUAUAAAGCAAUGGUUGCAUAGUACUUGAAGAUGAAAGACAUAGAUGACCACUAAAUUUCAAGUAAAUGGAUAAAAGAUGUUAGGUAGCAUCAUUUACUAGAAGCGUGAUCAAAAGAAAUGUGCAGUCAAGAUUAUGUAACCACCACAACUGAUAGCAUUCAAAUAUUUGUGCAACUCAAAAUUGAAGGAGAAUAAAUUCUCAUUCAAUUCAAGGAUGUUAUUCAUGUGAUUACAUUGACAUGGACAUCGGUGUGCGUUCUCUGAUGGAGAAAAGCAGUUGUUUCUUUGGUGUAGUAGUCUACUGUGUAUGGAAUGUUUCAUCACUUCACUGAAUUCUUUUCACCUCUUUGAUCUAGGGAACUUUUAUUUGGCAACAAUGAAUGAAUUGGUUAUUGCUAAUGACAAUAACAGUUUUAUAUCACAACAACAAGAAUUCAAAGUCAAAUUCUGAAGUGGUACAGUUGAAAACCUCUCUUGUCCCCAUACCUGUUCCCUUUUUCAAAAAGAUGUUUUUUCUUGGGUAACAAUAGCUGUGCAGUACUUUUUAAAAGAUUCCCUUGAACAAUGUUUAACUCAAAAACUUCAGCUCUAGGACAUGGUCCAUGGAUCUUCUCUGAUUUGCGCCAUGUUUAAGUUUUUAAUCAUACCCACACCCAUUAUAAAUGUGUAUGAUGACUCUCGAGAGCAUUUAUAGUUAUGUUCCAUGACUAGCUUGCUAAUGUCAUAUCCGUUCAAUAACAAUGAGAGGUAGAAAGCAGGAAAGUGAAGCGUUUGUAUAAUGUUCUCCUACAGGGGAAAGCUAAUAUUUCUAUCCUGUUAUAUCGUAUAUAGGAGUUAAAGGGCCCUACUAAGUUGAUGCGUUGUUGAUUUUUCAUUUUCUUGUAUAAUAAUUGUUUACCUUUGGUAUCCCUAGUAACAUAAUCGGCUUGGAUCUAUACAUUUCUGGGCAGGUCAGGUAGUGGUUGCCUGCUUCUAGUUUGAGGAAGGCUUAUUAGACAGUUAAAGUGAUUUGAACUAAAGUAAUUACAGUUGUGUUGUAUGCUUAAGUUUGAUAGAAGAGGCUUUCGGAUGCCUAAGGACUAGGCUAAAGUCAAUGCUGCCAUUUUUCCAAAGAGGUUUAGUGUAAAAUGAAGUAUGAGACUCCCAUGAAAUCUUAGUGACUGUCUUAUUAUUAAUUCUUUAUUUCUCUCAUGUAAUUUCAUCCAAUGUUUUGUGUCUACUCAACUCCGGCAACAGCUUGAUAACUGACCUUUUGCAUAAUAGGUUCUCUGUAUAAAAUCAUUUUUCAAUUUUAAUGUUGCUUUUUUACAACAUUUUACAUUUUAAUUUUCUUUUGACCCAUGUAUUUUAUACAUUUUGUGUCGUCUUUAGUGAAUUAAAUCAAAGUGUUUUGCAAAACAAACCUUCUGUUACUGUGCAGCCUGCACAACCUCAAGACCAAAUGCAAGGAACCCCAUUUGAAUAACAUUUGCCAUUCCAUGGGCGUUAUGCAUAGGGAUCUCAAGCCAGAGAAUUUCUUACUGUCUGGUAAGGAUGAAAAUACUAUGCUGAAGGUAACUGACUUUGGGCUUUCUGUCUUUAUUGAAGAAGGUCAGUUUCUUGCCCCUCGAGAUAAAUUACAUUACGGAUGAGUUUUUAAGAAUAAAUUGUUGUGUUAUCAAUAUUAUGUUAAUCCUUGCGUUUUAGUUUGUUUUGUUUGGACUUGGCACAGAGUUGAAGAAAGUAAAGAAGACUUUUGAAUCUUGUGGUCUUAAACUAAAGAUAUGUAGAAUGUAUCCAAUUAUCCUUUAAUCUUGUGAUCUUAAACAUGUCAUGUGGAAAGUUAGAACUAAAGAAUUUUCAAAAAGGAAAGAGUGAUUUUUUUCAAAUGGGCUAAAAUGGAUAGUAAGACAAAUAAACUGAAUUGGAGGGAGUUUUUUUUUUAAAAAAUAUACAAUGACUUUUUCUUGCUUGGAUGUGUCUGUCAAUGCAUGACGACAAAUACAUUUUACGCUAAGACACGUUAGUAGUAUCUAUCUGACAAAUUUUCAAAAAGAAGAUAUUUGAUUGGGGUAAAUGUAGGAUACACGAAUCUUUGUAGAUGAUGUAUUCUAGUAUCAGCUAGAAUAAGAAUUGUUUCAAUCCUACCAAUCAGUGAUUGCCUUAACAACAAGAUGCCAAGAAAUAUUGAUUUUAGACUUGCAGGAUCAAGUGAUAACUUGACAGGUCUCGCAGCUACUAUGAUUUCAAAAGAUCUAGCUGAUGACCUGUAUUUCUAUGUUCAGUGCUGCAGUUUGCUGUCGUAGCUCUUAUUACUUGAGAGGAUUUCUUGUACUUUAAUCAUGACCCAAUCUAGUUUCCUAAACCAAAAUUUUCAUUUUGCAACUACUUCUGCCAUUUGUGGGUAGUGAAGAUCAUUGAGUGAGAUUUUUUAACGGAGUGUGCGAGUCACUGUUGGAUCAUCUUAUUCUUCUCAACCCCUUUCCAGUUAAAGCAAUGUGUUUAUUACAAGAUUUGCUAGAAGUGUUAGCAUAGAGCACUUGUUAAAUUGAGUCAUUUACCGGUGAUAUGAGUUUGUUGGGGUGCAGCUAAUGGACUUUUUCAGUGAAUAUUUCAAGAAUUCUCUUCUUCCUGUUUAGAGUACUUUGGAAUAGUCGAGGUUUGCACAAGCUAGCCCAAAUACCACCAUCAUAAAAGAACUCCCCCCUCCUUGUUUUGAUAACAGUGCCAUCUCGCGAUGUUUGUUGCUUCUCCAUUAACUGGAUUUGAAAGAAUAUACUGAUACUUGAGUUAAUUACUCAAUUGUUUCCUACAACGACCUAAUAUAACUUCUAGUCUGAUUUAAUGGAUAUCAAAUUAAGACUUGAUGGCUGCACUUAAAGGAAAUUUUCCUGCAAGAUAGCAUGUUGUCAAGCAAACAAAUCCCACUUCUUAAACUGGUAUCACAUUCAAUAUAACACAUUUUUUCUCUACGCUUUUCAAUCACGUGCUGUCUUGCCGCUAUUUGAGUAUUCCAGCAUGGAGCAUUUCCAUAGUUGAUUUCAAUUAUAUUUUGUUUCCUCCAGUUUUCUAUUUAGGAUCUACAAUAGAUGAGCUUAUGUUUCAUUUAUAAAUGUCAGGGGAAGUGUACCGUGAUAUAGGUGGUAGCACAUAUUAUGUUGCCCCUGAAGUAUUGCGACGUAGUUAUGGGAAGGAAACAAAUGUAUGGAGUGCAGAUGUUAUUUUAUAUAUUCUACUCAGCGGUGUACCUCCAUUUUGGGCUUAAACUGAGAAGGGAAUAUUCAAUGCCAUACUAAAAGGAGAAAUUGAUUUUCAAAGUGAUCCAUGGGCCAUCCAUAUCAGAUAGUGCCAAGGUCCUUAUUCGGAAAAUGCUAACACAGGAGCGAAAGAAGAGAAUUACUACCGCACAAGUUCUUGCUUCAUCUUGAGAGAAAUUGGAAAACGCUAUGAAGGAAUAUGGUAUGGGUGAUGAGGCCACUAUCAAGGAAAUAAUCGCGGAGGUGGAAACUAACAACAAACUAAAGUAUAUUUAGAGGAUUGAAGGUCUGCUAUCAAGUGACACCUUGGUUGCCUCUCCUUGAAUGAAAAGAUGCAACAACUUUAUAACAUGUGUUGCUUUGCACUGUUCAACAACUUCACUUACCGAGGACAUGGCAUUAGAUAGUAAGGUACGGAGGUUGAAGAUUAAGGUAGAAGGUUAGUGGGUAGCCAACUUGGAGGUAGAAAGACUGUUUCGGAUAAACACUAAAUUCAAGUCAAAACAGAAGGCCAAUGCAUUUGUUUCAAAUAAUACUUGUACGUAUCUGAACUGGGAUUGUGGAAGGACUAAGAAAUCAAAGGUUUCACUUUUCAGGAGAAUAAAGGAAGAGUUUCAGAACAAGAGAUUGAUGAAUUGAAUUAUACAAUUUUGCUCUUUUAUUUCCAACCUUUCCGUUUUUACAUUAUCAUUUUUUAUUUUUAUUUUUGGAGAUUGGUGGAGAUUUUUUGGUAUUAAAGAAACUUGCUUAUGGUGUGAAUACACCAUAUUGCUUAUGGUUUCUCUUCUUUUAUGUGAACACACCACAUUGCUUAUGGUGUUGUUCGUUUAUAUCCAAACAAAUUUGCUUCUUUCACUUAC